This 86-nucleotide transfer RNA is filed under the name Candidatus Goldiibacteriota bacterium HGW-Goldbacteria-1. RNAcentral describes it as "Candidatus Goldbacteria bacterium HGW-Goldbacteria-1 tRNA-Leu". It matches the Rfam family "tRNA". From Rfam's summary of the family: Transfer RNA (tRNA) molecules are approximately 80 nucleotides in length. Their secondary structure includes four short double-helical elements and three loops (D, anti-codon, and T loops). Further hydrogen bonds mediate the characteristic L-shaped molecular structure. tRNAs have two regions of fundamental functional importance: the anti-codon, which is responsible for specific mRNA codon recognition, and the 3' end, to which the tRNAs corresponding amino acid is attached (by aminoacyl-tRNA synthetases). tRNAs cope with the degeneracy of the genetic code in two manners: having more than one tRNA (with a specific anti-codon) for a particular amino acid; and 'wobble' base-pairing, i.e. permitting non-standard base-pairing at the 3rd anti-codon position. Lineage: Bacteria; Candidatus Goldiibacteriota. The record is from RNAcentral.
GCCGGAGUGGUGAAAUGGUAGACACAGGAGACUCAAAAUCUCCCGUCCGCAAGGUCAUGUCGGUUCAAGUCCGACCUCCGGCACCA